AUGGAGAUGGCGUCAGGCAAAACUACAAAAACGUGUCCGAAUUUCAAAGAGAAGAAGAAACGACAGGAGAAGAAAAGCAAAGAGAGAACGAGAAGAGAGCCCUGUGACUGCUGGCUCCUGGCGGCCAUUGCCUCACUCUGGACCCUCAGAUCCUGAACAGAGUGGUCCCUCCUGGGCAGAGCUUCACCUCACAGUAUGCCGGCAUCUUCCACUUCCAGUUAUGGCAGUACGGGGAGUGGGCGGACGUAGUCGUGGACGACCGGCUGCCCAUCAGAGAUGGGAAACUGCUGUUCGUCCACUCAGCGGAGGGAGUGGAGUUCUGGAGUGCUGUGCUGGAGAAAGCCUACGCUAAAGCCUGUCAGACCUCUCCCUCAGCAGCACUCAGUCACAGUGUGACGGCGCCCUCUGCUGGUUCCUCGCAGCAUCUCAGCUGGACUCAGGCUCGAGUGCCAGACGUGCACCACCUUCUGUUGUCGUUGUGCUGGAAGAUUUCCAGCUCGUAUGAGACGGAGCUCAUCAGAAGCUGGCCAAAGGCCACACCUACUCCAUCGCGGCGGCCGAGCAGGUGCAUCACUGUGGUUCUCUGGUGGAGCUGAUCCAGAUCAGGAACCCCUGGGGUCAGGUGGAGUGGACGGGCGCCUGGAGCGACAGCUCGAAGGAGUGGGACGGCAUUCGGGCAGCGGAGAAGAGGCGGCUGGAUUGCUGCGCCGAGGACGGCGAGUUCUGGAUAUUCUACCACGACUUCCUGAGUCACUUCUCCCGCCUCGACAUCUGUAACCUGACACACUGACAAGCAACGAGGUCGGCUGCUGGAACUUUGCUGAGUUUGAGGGCACGUGGUGGGUGGGAUCCAUCGCCGGCGGCUGCAGGAACUACCCCGCUAACAUGUGCUCCUGUGUCUCCGCAGCCACCUUCUUCAUCCAGCUGGACGAUGAUCCUCACGAUGGCGAGGAAGGCUGCACCAUCCUCAUUGGUCUGAUGCAGAAAGAUGCUCGAAGGGAGAGGCGCUUCGGACGUGACCUCAACACCAUCGGCUUCGCCAUCUACGAGGUGCCCGAUCAGCUGAAUGGUCGUUCUAACGUCCGCCUGGGCCCGGACGUCCUCCUGAGAGACCAGUCAGUGGCUCGCAGUCACGCCUUCAUCAACCUGAGGGAGGUAUGCGAUCGCUUCAAAUUGCCACCCGGAGAGUACGCCAUCGUCCCGUCCACCUUCGAACUGCACCGCAAAGGAAGCUUCGUACUGACGGUGUUUACGGAGAAGGAAGCCCACACCAGGUCCCGACUUCAGGGUGACAGGGUUACGCUGCAUAACCGCUACACAGUCUGACAUCUGCUCUCCUGUUUCAGCCCCAUGAGCUCCAGCAGAUUUUGGACAAAGCGGAGUAAGAAGAGGUCGGACAUUACAACCGAUGGCUUCAGCCUGCAAACCUGCUGUGACAUCAUCAGCCUGCUGGAUACUGACGGCAGCUCCAGACUGGGCCUGCUGGGUGAAGAUGCAGACGUACCUGGAGAUCUUUAAGAGUCACGACUCGGACGGGUCUGGCACGAUGAGCAGCCACGAGAUGAGAGCGGCUCUGGCUGAAGCCGGGUUCCAGCUGAACAGCACAGUGAUCCAAGAGAUUGUCGCUCGCUACACCGACAGAAGCUACGCCAUCGACUUCGACCGUUUCAUCGGCUGCUUGAUCCGUCUGGAGAUGCUCUUCAGGAUGUUCAGGACUCUGGAUCCAGCUGGACCUGCAGCAGUGGCUGUGCCUCACCAUCAACUGAGAGCUGCCACUCCAGGAGCAUGCUGGGAAAAGGAUUUAGGCAGCACUGUCUUUGGUAAGCUGAAGGCAUCGUAUCCAAAGCAGCGUUAGCAUCAUGCAGUAGCUGAACAGUUUAACGUGCACGUUUGUGUUGGAGGAUAAUGUUGGCAAAAAGUCUAAAGAGGCUCCAGCGAGCAUCGCGAACAUGUUCACUGUGAAUGAUUUUGUUUCCUUGCAAGUAAAAUAAACACGUUGGAUUGGCUGCUGUGUCUCAGUUAUAACAGAUACCAUGGUUACCGUGCAAAGGACAGGAAGCUGAUGCUGCGGUCGCUGACUCUGAAA
This is a non-coding RNA of Maylandia zebra (zebra mbuna), 2086 nucleotides long. The record is from RefSeq and is a predicted model, not a curated record. NCBI's taxonomy places the organism in Eukaryota, Metazoa, Chordata, Actinopteri, Cichliformes, Cichlidae.